CAGAAUUAAAUUAAAAAAAAUUCUAUAUUUCGAUUCUAUUUCUCCAUCUCUCCAUAUCUAGAGAAGAACGUAUAUAAAAAUCUUUAGUGAAAGUUAAGAACUCAUUGAAACUAAUUGAUUCUAUUUUGCAACCUUUGUGUUUUGUCUAACUUUAUAACUUUUUAUUUUCUCUGAAUUAUUAUAUAGACCCCAUGUAUAUCUUGCCCUUAACCCAAUAGAGAAAAUUGCUUAAUGAAAUUUUGUAUGACUAAUUGUCAAUUUUGAGCGAUGCAAAAUAGGUUCUUUUCUUUCUAUUUUGUCGUCAAAAUACCUUUUUUGUUUUAGAUUUAUGAAAAAUAAAUAAA
RNAcentral lists this long non-coding RNA (344 nucleotides) under Capsicum annuum. Its description in RNAcentral is "long non-coding RNA (CANN_LNC015356)". The record is from RNAcentral. Lineage: Eukaryota; Viridiplantae; Streptophyta; Magnoliopsida; Solanales; Solanaceae.